CGAGCGGACAGAUGGGAGCUUGCUCCCUGAUGUUAGCGGCGGACGGGUGAGUAACACGUGGGUAACCUGCCUGUAAGACUGGGAUAACUCCGGGAAACCGGGGCUAAUACCGGAUGGUUGUUUGAACCGCAUGGUUCAAACAUAAAAGGUGGCUUCGGCUACCACUUACAGAUGGACCCGCGGCGCAUUAGCUAGUUGGUGAGGUAACGGCUCACCAAGGCAACGAUGCGUAGCCGACCUGAGAGGGUGAUCGGCCACACUGGGACUGAGACACGGCCCAGACUCCUACGGGAGGCAGCAGUAGGGAAUCUUCCGCAAUGGACGAAAGUCUGACGGAGCAACGCCGCGUGAGUGAUGAAGGUUUUCGGAUCGUAAAGCUCUGUUGUUAGGGAAGAACAAGUACCGUUCGAAUAGGGCGGUACCUUGACGGUACCUAACCAGAAAGCCACGGCUAACUACGUGCCAGCAGCCGCGGUAAUACGUAGGUGGCAAGCGUUGUCCGGAAUUAUUGGGCGUAAAGGGCUCGCAGGCGGUUUCUUAAGUCUGAUGUGAAAGCCCCCGGCUCAACCGGGGAGGGUCAUUGGAAACUGGGGAACUUGAGUGCAGAAGAGGAGAGUGGAAUUCCACGUGUAGCGGUGAAAUGCGUAGAGAUGUGGAGGAACACCAGUGGCGAAGGCGACUCUCUGGUCUGUAACUGACGCUGAGGAGCGAAAGCGUGGGGAGCGAACAGGAUUAGAUACCCUGGUAGUCCACGCCGUAAACGAUGAGUGCUAAGUGUUAGGGGGUUUCCGCCCCUUAGUGCUGCAGCUAACGCA
Molecule: ribosomal RNA, 815 nt
Filed under: Bacillus subtilis
Lineage: Bacteria; Bacillati; Bacillota; Bacilli; Caryophanales; Bacillaceae
Description: bacterial SSU rRNA
Rfam family: Bacterial small subunit ribosomal RNA
Source: RNAcentral